RNAcentral lists this small RNA (29 nucleotides) under Bombyx mori (domestic silkworm). Its description in RNAcentral is "ovarian small RNA-8953". Lineage: Eukaryota; Metazoa; Arthropoda; Insecta; Lepidoptera; Bombycidae. The record is from RNAcentral.
UGUAUGUGGGGUAAUUUAAUAUUCAAACC